UGGAAGACAAAGAAUAGUAUAAAGGAUGAAAGCUAAAUAUUAAGUAGGUCAACUCUACCAAUUGAAAAGAUAAAUUCACAUAGAUGCUUGAAAACCCAAUUUACAGUCUGUAAAGCUAAAAACUUUUUUUUUGACACUGUAAAGCUGAAAACCCAAUUUGCAGUCCCACUAUCCAAUGAAGCACGUUCAAGAAAAACACAAGAUUUCUUAUAACCAAUUUCUCAAACUAAGAACCAUGAGAUGGCAUCAAAACAUCAUGUUAGGUACAUGUUGAUGUCCACCAAACCAAUUUCUCAAGCUAAGAACCACCAAACCAAUAUCAAAAUGAAAAUUUGUAUGAAGGAUAUAUCAAAAUUUGUAAAUUACAAGUAGUUAUAAAUCUUUAUUCAAUAUAAACAACUAACACAUAUACAAAUCAAUUAUAUCUCCAUUGAAGAAACUUUAAGUCUUUAUCACAACUAACACAUAUACAAAUCAAUUAUAUCUCAGAAACAACUAUCGAUCUGAAAGCAGAACAACUAUACAUAUUAUAUCUCAGAAACAACCAAAAUACAUAGAUCCGAAACAAAAUCAAGCAAAUCGCAACAUAUAUACCGUAAAAAUCAAAUGGUAUGUACAAAAAAGGAUGAAGAAGAGUGAGAGAGAGAGAGAGAGAGAGAGAGAAGCACAAUUAUGGAGACACCUUGUUCACCAGCGGCGAUGCCUUGUUCUGGCCUCGAUCAUUGCAGAUCUGAGUUCACUUUCGCCAAGAUCAGAGGAGGGAGAUCGGCGAUGAUAGGAGGGACAGGAGGACAACGGAGGAGGAGGGAGAGGAGGACAGCGGAGGAAGGGAGAUCGGUGGUAAUAGGAGGGCUUUAGAGAUAUAUAUAUAUAUAGAGAGAGAGAGAGAGAGGGGCGAUCAAUUUGCUUGUGUGUGCGUGAGGUUGUGUAAUUGUGUUUUGGGGUUUAGUUUAUAUAUAUAUAAAGAGAGGAGUAUAAUCGUAAUUUCACAUUGGGGGAAACGGGAACGGAGACAGGGUCGGGGUCGGGGCUGGGGAACGUAUUACCGUCUCCGGUCCGAAAUUUGUCAGGGAUUCAUUUUCGAAUACCAUCCCUGGCCCAUCGGGGGUAUUUUUCGAGAAAAAAUCAUUUUAAUCGAGAUCGGAGAGCCAGGUCCCCGUUGGGUCGGGUUCAAAUUGCCAUCCCUAAUGACACACACGGUUCAUUUCAACCAGAAUAAGAAUAAGAAGAUUUCUACAGUCGUGAUUGUGUUUAAGGUCACUCUAUGCAAAACCCAACACUUCAACUUCAUAUGCCAACACAACUCACACAGGAAUUUCAUCAAACAGCUUGUGAACAUAUCACUUACCAAACACCCACUUAUCCACACAAGAAAAACUGGUUCAUAGUUCACAUCAUUCAUGCUUUUCUGAAUCAAAUAAAAACUAUAAUCGCCGAAAUUUUUCAAAAAGAAAAAAGAAGCAAUUGGUAUUAAAGAAUUUGGGAUUCGGAGAACUUUCUAGGAUUGGCACUCAGGAACCCAAGAACGAACCAGCAAACAGCAACAAAGAUUAAGUGAUCUUAGAGAAAGAGAGUGGUUAGGAGGCCUUUGUAGAGAUAGAAAACGAUGAUUGAAGCAAACCCACUUAAAUUCAAGAAAGUAACACCCAAUAACUAACUCAACUUUGUGUUUGCCCAAAAACAAAAAUACAAAUAAAUUCAACAGAAUUAAUACCCAAUUCGGGAAAUUGGGUUUCAGAUUAAUAAAAAAA
This is a non-coding RNA of Camellia sinensis, 1751 nucleotides long. Lineage: Eukaryota; Viridiplantae; Streptophyta; Magnoliopsida; Ericales; Theaceae. The record is from RefSeq and is a predicted model, not a curated record.